Sus scrofa (pig) is the source of this 84-nucleotide microRNA precursor. It matches the Rfam family "mir-671 microRNA precursor family". The record is from Rfam. NCBI's taxonomy places the organism in Eukaryota, Metazoa, Chordata, Mammalia, Artiodactyla, Suidae.
GGCCAGGAAGAGGAGGAAGCCCUGGAGGGGCUGGAGGUGAUGGAUGUUUUCCUCCGGUUCUCAGGGCUCCACCUUUUCCGGGCC